GACGAACGCUGGCGGCGCGCCUAACACAUGCAGGUCGAACGAGCAAGCGAGAGCUUGCUUUCUCGAGCGAGUGGCGAACGGGUGAGUAACGCGUGAGGAACCUGCCUCAAAGAGGGGGACAACAGUUGGAAACGACUGCUAAUACCGCAUAAGCCCACGGUGCCGCAUGGCACAGAGGGAAAAGGAGCAAUCCGCUUUGAGAUGGCCUCGCGUCCGAUUAGCUAGUUGGUGAGGUAAUGGCCCACCAAGGCGACGAUCGGUAGCCGGACUGAGAGGUUGAACGGCCACAUUGGGACUGAGACACGGCCCAGACUCCUACGGGAGGCAGCAGUGGGGAAUAUUGCACAAUGGGGGAAACCCUGAUGCAGCGACGCCGCGUGGAGGAAGAAGGUCUUCGGAUUGUAAACUCCUGUUGUUGGGGAAGAUAAUGACGGUACCCAACAAGGAAGUGACGGCUAACUACGUA
RNAcentral lists this ribosomal RNA (466 nucleotides) under uncultured bacterium. Its description in RNAcentral is "partial 16S ribosomal RNA". It matches the Rfam family "Bacterial small subunit ribosomal RNA", at positions 28 to 507 of the family's 1533-position model. The record is from RNAcentral.